RNAcentral lists this unclassified non-coding RNA (21 nucleotides) under Dictyostelium discoideum. The record is from RNAcentral. Lineage: Eukaryota; Evosea; Eumycetozoa; Dictyosteliales; Dictyosteliaceae.
GUGGAGGUAAGCUUUCUUGAU